AGAGUUUGAUCAUGGCUCAGGACGAACGCUGGCGGCGUGCCUAACACAUGCAAGUCGAACGGAGAUAAGCGCUGAUGAUUUAGCUUGCUAGAGAUUCUUGCUUAUCUUAGUGGCGGACGGGUGAGUAACGCGUGAGCAACCUGCCUUUCAGAGGGGGAUAACGUCUUGAAAAGGACGCUAAUACCGCAUGAUAUUAUGGAGCCACAUGGCUCUAUAAUCAAAGGAGCAAUCUGCUGAGAGAUGGGCUCGCGUCCGAUUAGGUAGUUGGCGGGAUAACAGCCCACCAAGCCGACGAUCGGUAGCCGG
This 306-nucleotide ribosomal RNA is filed under the name uncultured bacterium. RNAcentral describes it as "bacterial SSU rRNA". It matches the Rfam family "Bacterial small subunit ribosomal RNA", at positions 8 to 290 of the family's 1533-position model. The record is from RNAcentral.